This 730-nucleotide ribosomal RNA is filed under the name Pseudomonas sp. JF-10. RNAcentral's name for it is "bacterial SSU rRNA". It matches the Rfam family "Bacterial small subunit ribosomal RNA", at positions 45 to 765 of the family's 1533-position model. The record is from RNAcentral. Lineage: Bacteria; Pseudomonadati; Pseudomonadota; Gammaproteobacteria; Pseudomonadales; Pseudomonadaceae.
GNCCUAACACAUUNCAAAGUCGAGCGGAUGAAGGGAGCUUNGCUCCCGGAUUCAGCGGCGGACGGGUGAGUAAUGCCUAGGAAUCUGCCCUGGUAGUGGGGGACAAACGUUCNGAAAGGNGCGCUAAUACCGCAUACGUCCUACGGGAGAAAGUGGGGGAUCUUCGGACCUCACGCUAUCAGAUGAGCCUAGGUCGGAUUAGCUAGUAGGUGGGGUAAUGGCUCACCUAGGCGACGAUCCGUAACUGGUCUGAGAGGAUGAUCAGUCACACUGGAACUGAGACACGGUCCAGACUCCUACGGGAGGCAGCAGUGGGGAAUAUUGGACAAUGGGCGAAAGCCUGAUCCAGCCAUGCCGCGUGUGUGAAGAAGGUCUUCGGAUUGUAAAGCACUUUAAGUUGGGAGGAAGGGCAGUAAGUUAAUACCUUGCUGUUUUGACGUUACCAACAGAAUAAGCACCGGCUAACUUCGUGCCAGCAGCCGCGGUAAUACGAAGGGUGCAAGCGUUAAUCGGAAUUACUGGGCGUAAAGCGCGCGUAGGUGGUUUGGUAAGAUGGAUGUGAAAUCCCCGGGCUCAACCUGGGAACUGCAUCCAUAACUGCCUGACUAGAGUACGGUAGAGGGUGGUGGAAUUUCCUGUGUAGCGGUGAAAUGCGUAGAUAUAGGAAGGAACACCAGUGGCGAAGGCGACCACCUGGACUGAUACUGACACUGAGGUGCGAAAGCGUGGG